This 2892-nucleotide ribosomal RNA is filed under the name Escherichia coli. RNAcentral describes it as "partial 23S ribosomal RNA". It matches the Rfam family "Bacterial large subunit ribosomal RNA". The record is from RNAcentral. Lineage: Bacteria; Pseudomonadati; Pseudomonadota; Gammaproteobacteria; Enterobacterales; Enterobacteriaceae.
GGGUUGUGAGGUUAAGCGACUAAGCGUACACGGUGGAUGCCCUGGCAGUCAGAGGCGAUGAAGGACGUGCUAAUCUGCGAUAAGCGUCGGUAAGGUGAUAUGAACCGUUAUAACCGGCGAUUUCCGAAUGGGGAAACCCAGUGUGAUUCGUCACACUAUCAUUAACUGAAUCCAUAGGUUAAUGAGGCGAACCGGGGGAACUGAAACAUCUAAGUACCCCGAGGAAAAGAAAUCAACCGAGAUUCCCCCAGUAGCGGCGAGCGAACGGGGAGCAGCCCAGAGCCUGAAUCAGUGUGUGUGUUAGUGGAAGCGUCUGGAAAGGCGUGCGAUACAGGGUGACAGCCCCGUACACAAAAAUGCACAUGCUGUGAGCUCGAUGAGUAGGGCGGGACACGUGGUAUCCUGUCUGAAUAUGGGGGGACCAUCCUCCAAGGCUAAAUACUCCUGACUGACCGAUAGUGAACCAGUACCGUGAGGGAAAGGCGAAAAGAACCCCGGCGAGGGGAGUGAAAAAGAACCUGAAACCGUGUACGUACAAGCAGUGGGAGCACGCUUAGGCGUGUGACUGCGUACCUUUUGUAUAAUGGGUCAGCGACUUAUAUUCUGUAGCAAGGUUAACCGAAUAGGGGAGCCGAAGGGAAACCGAGUCUUAACUGGGCGUUAAGUUGCAGGGUAUAGACCCGAAACCCGGUGAUCUAGCCAUGGGCAGGUUGAAGGUUGGGUAACACUAACUGGAGGACCGAACCGACUAAUGUUGAAAAAUUAGCGGAUGACUUGUGGCUGGGGGUGAAAGGCCAAUCAAACCGGGAGAUAGCUGGUUCUCCCCGAAAGCUAUUUAGGUAGCGCCUCGUGAAUUCAUCUCCGGGGGUAGAGCACUGUUUCGGCAAGGGGGUCAUCCCGACUUACCAACCCGAUGCAAACUGCGAAUACCGGAGAAUGUUAUCACGGGAGACACACGGCGGGUGCUAACGUCCGUCGUGAAGAGGGAAACAACCCAGACCGCCAGCUAAGGUCCCAAAGUCAUGGUUAAGUGGGAAACGAUGUGGGAAGGCCCAGACAGCCAGGAUGUUGGCUUAGAAGCAGCCAUCAUUUAAAGAAAGCGUAAUAGCUCACUGGUCGAGUCGGCCUGCGCGGAAGAUGUAACGGGGCUAAACCAUGCACCGAAGCUGCGGCAGCGACGCUGAUGCGUUGUUGGGUAGGGGAGCGUUCUGUAAGCCUGCGAAGGUGUGCUGUGAGGCAUGCUGGAGGUAUCAGAAGUGCGAAUGCUGACAUAAGUAACGAUAAAGCGGGUGAAAAGCCCGCUCGCCGGAAGACCAAGGGUUCCUGUCCAACGUUAAUCGGGGCAGGGUGAGUCGACCCCUAAGGCGAGGCCGAAAGGCGUAGUCGAUGGGAAACAGGUUAAUAUUCCUGUACUUGGUGUUACUGCGAAGGGGGGACGGAGAAGGCUAUGUUGGCCGGGCGACGGUUGUCCCGGUUUAAGCGUGUAGGCUGGUUUUCCAGGCAAAUCCGGAAAAUCAAGGCUGAGGCGUGAUGACGAGGCACUACGGUGCUGAAGCAACAAAUGCCCUGCUUCCAGGAAAAGCCUCUAAGCAUCAGGUAACAUCAAAUCGUACCCCAAACCGACACAGGUGGUCAGGUAGAGAAUACCAAGGCGCUUGAGAGAACUCGGGUGAAGGAACUAGGCAAAAUGGUGCCGUAACUUCGGGAGAAGGCACGCUGAUAUGUAGGUGAAGCGACUUGCUCGUGGAGCUGAAAUCAGUCGAAGAUACCAGCUGGCUGCAACUGUUUAUUAAAAACACAGCACUGUGCAAACACGAAAGUGGACGUAUACGGUGUGACGCCUGCCCGGUGCCGGAAGGUUAAUUGAUGGGGUCAGCGCAAGCGAAGCUCUUGAUCGAAGCCCCGGUAAACGGCGGCCGUAACUAUAACGGUCCUAAGGUAGCGAAAUUCCUUGUCGGGUAAGUUCCGACCUGCACGAAUGGCGUAAUGAUGGCCAGGCUGUCUCCACCCGAGACUCAGUGAAAUUGAACUCGCUGUGAAGAUGCAGUGUACCCGCGGCAAGACGGAAAGACCCCGUGAACCUUUACUAUAGCUUGACACUGAACAUUGAGCCUUGAUGUGUAGGAUAGGUGGGAGGCUUUGAAGUGUGGACGCCAGUCUGCAUGGAGCCGACCUUGAAAUACCACCCUUUAAUGUUUGAUGUUCUAACGUGGACCCGUGAUCCGGGUUGCGGACAGUGUCUGGUGGGUAGUUUGACUGGGGCGGUCUCCUCCUAAAGAGUAACGGAGGAGCACGAAGGUUGGCUAAUCCUGGUCGGACAUCAGGAGGUUAGUGCAAUGGCAUAAGCCAGCUUGACUGCGAGCGUGACGGCGCGAGCAGGUGCGAAAGCAGGUCAUAGUGAUCCGGUGGUUCUGAAUGGAAGGGCCAUCGCUCAACGGAUAAAAGGUACUCCGGGGAUAACAGGCUGAUACCGCCCAAGAGUUCAUAUCGACGGCGGUGUUUGGCACCUCGAUGUCGGCUCAUCACAUCCUGGGGCUGAAGUAGGUCCCAAGGGUAUGGCUGUUCGCCAUUUAAAGUGGUACGCGAGCUGGGUUUAGAACGUCGUGAGACAGUUCGGUCCCUAUCUGCCGUGGGCGCUGGAGAACUGAGGGGGGCUGCUCCUAGUACGAGAGGACCGGAGUGGACGCAUCACUGGUGUUCGGGUUGUCAUGCCAAUGGCACUGCCCGGUAGCUAAAUGCGGAAGAGAUAAGUGCUGAAAGCAUCUAAGCACGAAACUUGCCCCGAGAUGAGUUCUCCCUGACUCCUUGAGAGUCCUGAAGGAACGUUGAAGACGACGACGUUGAUAGGCCGGGUGUGUAAGCGCAGCGAUGCGUUGAGCUAACCGGUACUAA